Molecule: ribosomal RNA, 253 nt
Filed under: uncultured bacterium
Lineage: Bacteria
Description: partial 16S ribosomal RNA
Rfam family: Bacterial small subunit ribosomal RNA
Source: RNAcentral
GACGUAGGGGGCGAGCGUUGUCCGGAUUUACUGGGCGUAAAGAGCGCGCAGGCGGUCGUUCAAGUCGAGUGUGAAAGCCCCCGGCUCAACUGGGGAGGGUCAUUCGAUACUGAUCGACUCGAAGGCAGGAGAGGGAAGUGGAAUUCCCGGUGUAGUGGUGAAAUGCGUAGAUAUCGGGAGGAACACCAGUGGCGAAGGCGACUUCCUGGCCUGUUCUUGACGCUGAGGCGCGAAAGCUAGGGGAGCAAACGGG